This 301-nucleotide ribosomal RNA is filed under the name uncultured bacterium. Its description in RNAcentral is "partial 16S ribosomal RNA". It matches the Rfam family "Bacterial small subunit ribosomal RNA", at positions 509 to 808 of the family's 1533-position model. The record is from RNAcentral.
CAGCCGCCGCGGUAAUACGUAUGUCACAAGCGUUAUCCGGAUUUAUUGGGCGUAAAGCGCGUCUAGGUGGUUAUGUAAGUCUGAUGUGAAAAUGCAGGGCUCAACUCUGUAUUGCGUUGGAAACUGUGUAGCUAGAGUACUGGAGAGGUAAGCGGAACUACAAGUGUAGAGGUGAAAUUCGUAGAUAUUUGUAGGAAUGCCGAUGGGGAAGCCAACUUACUGGACAGAUACUGACGCUAAAGCGCGAAAGCGUGGGUAGCAAACAGGAUUAGAUACCCGUGUAGUCCCUGUCUCUUAUACA